GAGUACGGUCAAGGUAGGCGGGAAUGUGUAAUGUAGCGGUGAAAUGCUUAGAUAUUACACAGAACACCGAUUGCGAAGGCAGCUUACUGGGCCAUUACUGACGCUGAGGCACGAAAGCGUGGGGAGCGAACAGGAUUAGAUACCCUGGUAGUCCACGCCGUAAACGAUGAUCACUCGCUGUUGGCGAUACACAGUCAGCGGCUAAGCAAAAGCAUUAAGUGAUCCACCUGGGGAGUACGGCCGCAAGGCUGAAACUCAAAGGAAUUGACGGGGGCCCGCACAAGCGGAGGAACAUGUGGUUUAAUUCGAUGAUACGCGAGGAACCUUACCUGGGCUUAAAUGUAGAGUGCAUGGGGUAGAAAUAUCCCUUUCCUUCGGGACUCUUUGCAAGGUGCUGCAUGGUUGUCGUCAGCUCGUGCCGUGAGGUGUCGGGUUAAGUCCCAUAACGAGCGCAACCCUUAUCGUUAGUUGCCAGCGGGUAAUGCCGGGAACUCUAACGAAACUGCCGGUGUAAACCGUGAGGAAGGUGGGGAUGACGUCAAAUCAGCACGGCCCUUAUGUCCAGGGCUACACACGUGUUACAAUGGCCGGUACAGAGGGCAGCUACCUGGAGACAGGAUGCGAAUCUCCAAAGCCGGUCUCAGUUCGGAUCGGAGUCUGCAACUCGACUCCGUGAAGCUGGAUUCGCUAGUAAUCGCGCAUCAGCCAUGGCGCGGUGAAUACGUUCCCGGGCCUUGUAAAACGACGGCCAGCAAGCCUAAUAAGUCUCGGGAUAGGGAAGUCCGAAUCUAUCGGCCGCGACUUAGCCCUUUACCAGGGUCCGGGUUUAACUUGAUCCAACUUA
This 844-nucleotide ribosomal RNA is filed under the name uncultured bacterium. RNAcentral describes it as "bacterial SSU rRNA". It matches the Rfam family "Bacterial small subunit ribosomal RNA", at positions 644 to 1533 of the family's 1533-position model. The record is from RNAcentral.